RNAcentral lists this ribosomal RNA (301 nucleotides) under uncultured bacterium. RNAcentral describes it as "partial 16S ribosomal RNA". It matches the Rfam family "Bacterial small subunit ribosomal RNA", at positions 509 to 809 of the family's 1533-position model. The record is from RNAcentral.
CAGCCGCCGCGGUAAUACGAAGGGUGCAAGCGUUACUCGGAAUUACUGGGCGUAAAGCGUGUGUAGGUGGUUGUUUAAGUCUGUCGUGAAAGCCCUGGGCUCAACCUGGGAAUUGCGAUGGAUACUGGGCGACUAGAGUGCGGUAGAGGAUAGUGGAAUUUCCGGUGUAGCAGUGAAAUGCGUAGAGAUCGGAAGGAACAUCUGUGGCGAAGGCGACUAUCUGGGCCAACACUGACCCUGAGACACGAAAGCGUGGGGAGCAAACAGGAUUAGAUACCCGCGUAGUCCCUGUCUCUUAUAA